AUAGCCAUACGGAAUGGAACGGAACGGAAUCGUUUGGCAAAUGCUGUGCCCAGCUCAAUGCAAUCGCCGGAGGCAGCAGCCAUGGCCGCCGCCGAACCAGCAGAUACUUCAGGGCUUCCAGAUGAUGGUGGUCUCGGCGAUCAUGGAGGUCACCACGUAGGGGUCCAUGUUGGACGCCGGCCGGCGGUCCUCGAAGUAGCCCUUGCCGUUCUGCUCCGUCUCCCGGCCCACGCGCACUGACGCGCCACGGUUGGCGACUCCCUGCACCAGACAACACAAAAAAGAGUUGGCAUUGGCAAACGCCGGGUUCCCUUCGCUACGGCAUAUUCAGGCACAUUAGGGGGGAUGCGGACGUACCCAGCUGAAGGUGUUGAUGUCGGCCGUCUCGUGCUUGCCGGUCAGCCGGCGCUCGUUGCCCUCACCGUAGGCGGCGAUGUGCUCCUUGUGCCGCAGCUUCAGCUUCUCGAUAGCGGCCUUGAUCACCUCGUACCCGCCAUCGUUCCUCAUGGACUUGGU
This 516-nucleotide long non-coding RNA is filed under the name Setaria italica (foxtail millet). RNAcentral describes it as "long non-coding RNA (SITA_LNC000692)". The record is from RNAcentral. Lineage: Eukaryota; Viridiplantae; Streptophyta; Magnoliopsida; Poales; Poaceae.